UACGUAGGGGGCAAGCGUUGUCCGGAAUCAUUGGGCGUAAAGCGCGUGUAGGCGGCCCGGUAAGUCCGCUGUGAAAGUCCAGGGCUCAACCCUGGGAUGCCGGUGGAUACUGUCGGGCUCGAGUCCGGAAGAGGCGAGUGGAAUUCCUGGUGUAGCGGUGAAAUGCGCAGAUAUCAGGAGGAACACCGAUGGCGAAGGCGGCGACCUGGACCUGUGCUGACGCUGAGGCGCGAAAGCGUGGGGAGCGAUCCGG
This 253-nucleotide ribosomal RNA is filed under the name uncultured bacterium. Its description in RNAcentral is "partial 16S ribosomal RNA". It matches the Rfam family "Bacterial small subunit ribosomal RNA", at positions 524 to 776 of the family's 1533-position model. The record is from RNAcentral.